This 233-nucleotide long non-coding RNA is filed under the name Lathyrus oleraceus (garden pea). Its description in RNAcentral is "Pisum sativum (pea) long non-coding RNA (PSAT_LNC001718)". The record is from RNAcentral. Lineage: Eukaryota; Viridiplantae; Streptophyta; Magnoliopsida; Fabales; Fabaceae.
CUUUGAAGCUCUGGCUAGCUUCUCCUUGGUACUGUCGUGCUCCCUUGUAGACGACUCCAAUGCUUGCCUGACCUUGCCAUAGUAAGCGGUAUCCAUCUCAAAGCGCUUCACUUCCAGGGCAUGUCGCUUGUCCUGAUCUUCCAUCCUCCCUCUAAUCUCCUGAUUAGCCAUCUGAAUCCGAGCAACACUCAUCUCUAAUUCAGUCUUCUCUGCCUGCAGCUGAUCUCUAGCUU